RNAcentral lists this ribosomal RNA (198 nucleotides) under uncultured Pseudomonadota bacterium. RNAcentral describes it as "uncultured proteobacterium partial 16S ribosomal RNA". It matches the Rfam family "Bacterial small subunit ribosomal RNA", at positions 335 to 524 of the family's 1533-position model. The record is from RNAcentral. Lineage: Bacteria; Pseudomonadati; Pseudomonadota.
ACUCCUACGGGAGGCAGCAGUGGGGAAUAUUGGACAAUGGGCGAAAGCCUGAUCCAGCAAUGCCGCGUGAGUGAUGAAGGCCUUAGGGUUGUAAAGCUCUGUCGGAGGGAACGAACGCUCUGAAGGUUAACAGCCUUCGGAGGUGACGGUACCCUCAAAGGAAGCACCGGCUAACUCUGUGCCAGCAGCCGCGGUAAU